Molecule: long non-coding RNA, 1090 nt
Filed under: Homo sapiens (human)
Lineage: Eukaryota; Metazoa; Chordata; Mammalia; Primates; Hominidae
Description: HSALNT0127175
Source: RNAcentral
GUAGAUUUGGCCAUGGCCCUUGAGAGAGAGGCUUCCCUCCAUCCCCAAGUUACCAUUGAAGAGAGUUCUGAUCCAGAGUGGAGUACAUAUACACUUCAGUGGGUCUGGAGAAAAGAAGGUUCGGCAAUCUCUCUCAGAACCAGGCAAACUUACAUGGUUGGUCACCCUACCAGAUGAGCAGCAUCAACAUCAUGUGGAAAUGCCAAUGAUCAGGGCCCAGCCAGGGACCUACUGAUUCACAGACUCUGGGAUGGGGCCCAGCAUGCUGCCACGUGCCCUCCAGGUGAGUCUGAUGAACGCUCAAGUUUGAGAACCACUGCCCUAAGCAACUCCCAAGUCUUUGCACUCCAAAGACUGAUGGCUCCUCAGUAGUAAGACUCUGCAGGCUGUCGUGUUGGGGUGAGUACAGGACAUUUGGCAAUGUUUGCAGACAUUUUUGGCUGUCAUAAUGAGAGGAAGAUGCUGUAUGGCAGACACACCUGAAAGCAAUAACUUAAGCAGACCCUGAGAAAGACCUGUGGUCUAAAAGGAAUGUGUGUUUAGAGUUCCAAGCUAAGGAAUCCGGGAGUAGCCAACCUGAAGAUUCAUUCCUUAUCUAUCAGGAACAUCUGAACCCCUGGCCCAUUCUAUGGAACACGGUCGAUACAGGGGAUCGAGGUCCUUUGUUUUGUUGUAAACAAAGGUUGCCAGGUGGAGGUUGUUAGAGGGAGGGUGCUCAGUGAAAAUGCUGUAUGAACUGCAUGACUUUUACAAGCAGGAGCGGUUCUCCAGUGCAGCCUUACAUACAGCCAUGGGUCUGCCCUGUGUAUAAGUCCCCUUCAAUAAACCCUAUGUCUUGUUCGCUGACUCCAAGUCCCUUCUUUGGCCUCUCAAACAUGGUGCCAUCCCUACUGAAGUCAAUAGGGUUCUGGCAUGACAGACGCUACUGGCAUUGAGUGUGUAGAGGCCAGGGGUGCUGCUAAGUAAAUAUUCUACAAUAUUUCUGGGCCCUACAACAUAGAAUUAAGCAUCCUAAAAUAUCAACAGCGCUGAGCUUGAGAAACUUUCUCAGUGGCUUCAGUGCCCUUAGCUAUGGGCCUUAUCAUCUCAG